AGAAUUUUUAAACUCUUUUAUAGAAAAAACUGAUGAUAAUAAAAAAAACAUGAAUAUAGAAAAUGUAUUUAAUUUAAACGUGAAACCAAAUUUAAAUUUUCCAGAAAAUCAGCCCAAUAAAAAAAAAACAGUUAAUGUUACAUGUACAGGUGCUCUUUCUGAUGAUACUGUAUCAAAUCAUUCGCAUAAUAAUAGUAACAAUAGUAAUACUAAUAAUAGUAACAAUAGUAAUACUAAUAAUAGUAACAUUAGUUAUACUAAUAAUAGUAACAUUGGUAAUACUAAUAAUAGUAACAUUGGUAAUACUAAUAAUAGUAACAAUAGUAAUACUAAUAAUAGUAACAUUGGUAAUACUAAUAAUAGUAACAAUAGUAAUACUAAUAAUAGUAACAUUAGUUAUACUAAUAAUAGUAACAUUAGUAAUACUAAUAAUAGUAACAUUGGUAAUACUAAUAAUAGUAAAAAUAGUUAUAGAAGUUAUAAUAAUAAUCACAAUAGUUAUAAUAACAGUUCUAACUAUGUAAGGAUGCAAAAUAAGGACAAUGUUUAUGACACAUAUAAUAGCAUAACUAAUGUACCAAAAAUUGUUUACAAUACACCUAAACCAUACCAACACAUUGUAGAAGUGAAAUCAACAAAUGUAACACAUGACUUUCAACCAGAAAAGAAUAAAGAUAUAUUAGAUAAUAAUAUAAAAUCUAUUUUAAAACAACUUAAAGAUAAAUUUUCUAAUAAUAAAAUAUAUAAACAAAAAAAUGAUAAACAACAUGAAAACACACAAAAACAAAGUCAAAAUUUAAAUGGAAUAAACAUACAUAAUAUAGAUGAAGAAAAAAACGAAAAAAUAAAACAUAAUCAUUCACUUAAUAAAAACGCAAUUCUAAUAAAUAAUGAAAAUUUGUGUCAUUAUGUUGAUGUCAAAAAGACGAUAAUAAACAAUUAUAAUAAUAAACAAAGCGAUAUAAAAAUAUCUGAAUUAUCAACUAACAUGCAACUAUAUAAAAAAUUAGUUUCAAGCGACGAAAUUAAAGAUUUUGUUUUAGAAAAUACUUACAAAAAUGAUGAUACAACAUAUAUAAAAGAUAAAGACAUAUCACGUUACGCAAGUGGUAUUAUAUCACAUGACGAAUUAAACAAUGUAAACAAAUCAUUAACAUAUAAUAGUGGUUAUAAAAAUGCAACAGAUGAAAAUGUAACAAAAAUUGCUAUAAUAAACGACCAAACAACAGAGACAAAUGUACAAGAUGGAAAAAAUGAAGAACAUGAAAAAAAUGAACAAGAUGGAAAAAAUGAACAAGAUGGAGAAAAUGUACAAGAUGGAAAAAAUGAGCAAGAUGAAGAAAAUGUACAAGAUGAUACAAGUUUCCAUGAUAACAAAUGUAUUGCACAAAAUAAUAUGAACAUAAAUAAAAAAGAAAACAUAAUGUUAAACAUAAUACCCGAUAUUAUACUGAAUAAUGAUGAAUUCGAAAAUACUAGCAAUAAUAUUAAAACAGAAGGUGAUAUAAACGUAACAAACAACGAUGUUCAUAAUGAAAUAAAAAAAAAUAAUACUAAUGAUAUUGUUCCUCAUGCUAAAAAUCAGUCUAACGAACACUG
Molecule: long non-coding RNA, 1599 nt
Organism: Piliocolobus tephrosceles (Ugandan red Colobus)
Lineage: Eukaryota; Metazoa; Chordata; Mammalia; Primates; Cercopithecidae
Source: Ensembl